AGGUUAUUGACAAAGUGCCAGCGGCGGAGAGAACAGGCGGAUAGUAAAGACGCCGUAAAUCCCUUCCUGGAGGUUCGAGCCGCGCCGUCCUGGUGCGGACGCUUU
RNAcentral lists this non-coding RNA (105 nucleotides) under Yersinia aleksiciae. RNAcentral describes it as "Yersinia sRNA 224". It matches the Rfam family "Yersinia sRNA 224". The record is from RNAcentral. Lineage: Bacteria; Pseudomonadati; Pseudomonadota; Gammaproteobacteria; Enterobacterales; Yersiniaceae.